RNAcentral lists this long non-coding RNA (2859 nucleotides) under Podarcis lilfordi (Lilford's wall lizard). Lineage: Eukaryota; Metazoa; Chordata; Lepidosauria; Squamata; Lacertidae. The record is from RNAcentral.
CUGAGGGCGAGAGAGUUCUGGGCAGUCAUGGCAACUGUUGCCAAGGGAAUCGGAAUGUUGGGAAAGUGACAAUGGGGCAGUUAGGCAGGGGAAGGGGGAAGAGAAGAGAAGAGCAGGAAGAGUGGGCUAGGAAGGAAGAAGAAAGUGUUGCUGUGAGUUUGUGAAGCACAUUCAGUGAGGGGACCCUGCAGCCAAGUUCCAGGUGUGACUGUGGUAGAUAGAGGCAGGGAGGAAAAAUAAUGGCAGGAGAGAGAAGAGCUGUAAGGUGAAUUGGGAUUUGGCUAGCAGCGAUGCCAAGGAGCUACAUCACAUUCACAGGAAUAGCCAGGGGACGUCACAACAUCCUAAGGAACUGGACUGGGGGAAAUGACUGCAGUAUUAGUUUAUUGCACAAGACAGGAUUUGGUAUUGUAAGGGCAUUUUAUGCUGGAGAAAAGUUAUUCUGUUCCUCCUUUAUAAUAAAAGUAAUUUUAACAGACGUGGUUUUCGUCGGCUUCCAAACGCCUUUCUCAGAGUGUGUAUUUGGAGCGUGGUCUCCCACUCACCAUCUCUUCCUGUGAGAUUCUGACAAUGAGAUGAACGCUUGCUCUCUCGCACUUAUUCACACAUGAUUGGAUCAGGCUCCCCAUUGAUAGGAGAAAUAAAAUAUGUUGCAGUAAAGUCAUGCCUUUAUCUCAGUGAUGGCCAAACUUGGCCCUCCAGCUGUUUUGGGACUACAACUCCCAUCAUCCCUAGCUAACAGGACCAGUGGUCAGGGAUGAUGGGAAUUAUAGUCCCAAAACACCUAGUUAAAUAAGGUGUCUAUUUUAGAGGUGUGGACUUUCCAAGACGCAUCAUUUGCUGUUUUGACAAUGUGCUGUACACAUGCUAGUGUACCAAUAUGGCAAGAAGCACAAUAAAAACGAAUUUAUAAAUAUUUGGGGUUUGAAACUUGAAAUAACAAUCACAGAAUGAGUCAAGCAUUAUUUUGAGAGAGAUCAUAUUUGCCAGAUUGCUAUUUCUAGUUCAUCUGGUCUGCAUGUGAAAGCUAUAAAUUUCAGUGGAACAUACUUUUAUCAAAGAAGUCUACCUUUCAAACAUAUAAACGUAUCAUCAUCUUGUAGGCAUUAGCAAAGAAAAAGAUGCUGGUAGAAGGGGCGCGUAUUUCCAGCUGUCCAGCUGCAAAUAAUCUGAAUUACACUUUCAUCCUGAGCAAGGUGGAAAAUGCAACCCCAAAUAAUCAGCUUUUUUCAUUUGCAGGCUUACAACACUUGUUCAGCUUGGAAACAACUUUGCAGAUAAAUAAUGUUUGGAAGGGACAAGCUUCUUCUCUAUAGGAUCUUUGAUGGGUCAACUGACAGCACAUUCUUUGCCAUAAUCUCCAAGGACCCUAAGAAACCUGUCUGGUUGCAUGACAAUAUUCAUGUGACUUGAUUAACCAAGAUCUAUUGGAUUCAAGUAGUCUGCUCAAGAACAUAGAACACAUAAUAACUUUCAGCAUAAAUGGUCAAGGUCACACCAGUAAGUCCUAAAACUGAUCCAUUACAUGCAUGCCCUAGUGCAGUGCUCGGGAACCUGUUGUUGCCAGUCUAAUUUAAUGCAGUUCUCUGGGACACUGCAGGUUCACUAUAGCUGCCCAGUUCACCUCCUUGGGGUCAUUUCUUCUCCUGUUUUGUGAAUGUGAGAGAUAGGGGUAGAGAGGUAGAGAAGAUGUAGCUGCUACACAAUAAGGCUGGGUGAAAAAAACUUGGCAGGAAACUGGAGGGUUGGGGAAGCCUGGGGUGGGGAGGGGGGAAGGUAGAAAGGGGGAAAUGGAAAUGGAUGAAACAAUGGAAGGAAAGCCAACUGCAAGCAGUCACUUGUAAUCUGUGUUAGUGGAGGAGGGCAAGGCAGUAUGAGAAUGUAAACUGGAUGGAGAGAGGGAGGGGGAGCAGAGAAAGGAGGAGAGAUAUGGGGUGUAAGUGAGCAAAUUUGCUAUGCAAUCCUGCAAAUUGCCCACUUUGGGCUCUCAUCCUGUACAAGUGGCAUGUGGCCUUUGACAGAUUACUUCUGAAGGAAUGGGUGACCAGUAAUAUAAGACCUACCAUGAGCAGCUGCCUCUGACUCUCUGGGAAGUAACUGGGAUCAAGCCUGGAUCUUCCAGGAUCAGAUCCUAUAACCUAGUUUUCAAGUAGUGCACAAACUACAGUUUCUUGGUUCAGACCUCACAAGGUACUGUAACUUAACAAACCACAAUAUAGAUGUCAACAUCAAGCAGCUUGAAUAGAAUAUAUUUUCAUGAAACACCUUGAUUGAAGACACUGCACAGUUGGCCAAAACUUCUAUUUAUAAGUUACUGUUUUACAGACUUCUGUUUUAAAGGUGAACUGUGGAAGCAUUUUACUCCCACAGGAAUACAAAACCUCAUAAAAUGUUAAUAUAGCCUUGGGAGAGUGGUGUUUCUAACAACAACAACAAAAUCAGUUGGUUGCAGCCACACAAAUGGCAUCAGAGAGAGAAAGAGGUAAAAUAUAAUGGGAAGUACAGUAUGAAGAUCUGAAAAAGCAUAUUCCACAGAAACUGAGAAGCAAAUAAAUUUUUUUUUGCUAUUGAUCUUCACCCUGCUGCAGCUGUCCUUUUGAUUCCUGCUUUCUUCUUGUCUUCCAGGAAUGUAUCAUGUGGUGGUGUGUUUACAGAAUACUUUUGCCCUUUUGUAUUGGUUCAGAUAAGUGCUGCACAAACAAUUCUUCAUAGUUACACCAGUAUUACAACAUAAUGCUAGAACUCUGACUUCUCAGAAAACUUUCCUGCAACUUUCGUUCAUUAGUGAAAUAUUGCAACACCUUCCAUUUUGAACAAAGAGUUAUGUGGCACAUUAAAGAUCUUUUUAUUAUUAUUGUG